AUUGAACGCUGGCGGAAUGCUUUACACAUGCAAGUCGAACGGCAGCACGGGGCAACCUGGUGGCGAGUGGCGAACGGGUGAGUAAUACAUCGGAACGUGCCCAAUCGUGGGGGAUAACGUAGCGAAAGUUACGCUAAUACCGCAUACGAUCUACGGAUGAAAGCGGGGGAUCGCAAGACCUCGCGCGAGUGGAGCGGCCGAUGUCAGAUUAGGUAGUUGGUGGGGUAAAGGCUCACCAAGCCAACGAUCUGUAGCUGGUCUGAGAGGACGACCAGCCACACUGGAACUGAGACACGGUCCAGACUCCUACGGGAGGCAGCAGUGGGGAAUUUUGGACAAUGGGCGCAAGCCUGAUCCAGCCAUUCCGCGUGCAGGAUGAAGGCCUUCGGUUGUAACUGCUUUUGUACGGUAACGAAACGGCGAGCUCUAAUACAGUUUGCUAAUGACGGUACCGUAAGAAUAAGACACCGGCUAACUACGUGCCAGCAGCCGAC
Molecule: ribosomal RNA, 494 nt
Filed under: uncultured bacterium
Lineage: Bacteria
Description: bacterial SSU rRNA
Rfam family: Bacterial small subunit ribosomal RNA
Source: RNAcentral